GACGAACGCUGGCGGCGUGCCUAAUACAUGCAAGUAGAACGCUGAAGAGAGGAGCUUGCUCUUCUUGGAUGAGUUGCGAACGGGUGAGUAACGCGUAGGUAACCUGCCUUGUAGCGGGGGAUAACUAUUGGAAACGAUAGCUAAUACCGCAUAACAAUGGAUGACACAUGUCAUUUAUUUGAAAGGGGCAAUUGCUCCACUACAAGAUGGACCUGCGUUGUAUUAGCUAGUAGGUGAGGUAAUGGCUCACCUAGGCGACGAUACAUAGCCGACCUGGGAGGGUGAUCGGCCACACUGGGACUGAGACACGGCCCAGACUCCUACGGGAGGCAGCAGUAGGGAAUCUUCGGCAAUGGGGGCAACCCUGACCGAGCAACGCCGCGUGAGUGAAGAAGGUUUUCGGAUCGUAAAGCUCUGUUGUAAGUCAAGAACGGGUGUGAGAGUGGAAAGUUCACACUGUGACGGUAGCUUACCAGAAAGGGACGGCUAACUACGUGCCAGCAGCCGCGGUAAUACGUAGGUCCCGAGCGUUGUCCGGAUUUAUUGGGCGUAAAGCGAGCGCAGGCGGUUUGAUAAGUCUGAAGUUAAAGGCUGUGGCUCAACCAUAGUUCGCUUUGGAAACUGUCAAACUUGAGUGCAGAAGGGGAGAGUGGAAUUCCAUGUGUAGCGGUGAAAUGCGUAGAUAUAUGGAGGAACACCGGUGGCGAAAGCGGCUCUCUGGCCUGUAACUGACGCUGAGGCUCGAAAGCGUGGGGAGCGAACAGGAUUAGAUACCCUGGUAGUCCACGCCGUAAACGAUGAGUGCUAGGUGUUGGAUCCUUUCCGGGAUUCAGUGCCGCAGCUAACGCAUUAAGCACUCCGCCUGGGGAGUACGACCGCAAGGUUGAAACUCAAAGGAAUUGACGGGGGCCCGCACAAGCGGUGGAGCAUGUGGUUUAAUUCGAAGCGACGCGAAGAACCUUACCAGGUCUUGACAUCCCGAUGCUAUUUCUAGAGAUAGAAAGUUACUUCGGUACAUCGGUGACAGGUGGUGCAUGGUUGUCGUCAGCUCGUGUCGUGAGAUGUUGGGUUAAGUCCCGCAACGAGCGCAACCCCUAUUGUUAGUUGCCAUCAUUCAGUUGGGCACUCUAGCGAGACUGCCGGUAAUAAACCGGAGGAAGGUGGGGAUGACGUCAAAUCAUCAUGCCCCUUAUGACCUGGGCUACACACGUGCUACAAUGGUUGGUACAACGAGUUGCGAGUCGGUGACGGCGAGCUAAUCUCUUAAAGCCAAUCUCAGUUCGGAUUGUAGGCUGCAACUCGCCUACAUGAAGUCGGAAUCGCUAGUAAUCGCGGAUCAGCACGCCGCGGUGAAUACGUUCCCGGGCCU
RNAcentral lists this ribosomal RNA (1369 nucleotides) under uncultured bacterium. RNAcentral's name for it is "bacterial SSU rRNA". It matches the Rfam family "Bacterial small subunit ribosomal RNA", at positions 28 to 1381 of the family's 1533-position model. The record is from RNAcentral.